RNAcentral lists this ribosomal RNA (448 nucleotides) under uncultured bacterium. Its description in RNAcentral is "bacterial SSU rRNA". It matches the Rfam family "Bacterial small subunit ribosomal RNA", at positions 64 to 507 of the family's 1533-position model. The record is from RNAcentral.
GAGCGGAUGAAGGGAGCUUGCUCCUGGAUUCAGCGGCGGACGGGUGAGUAAUGCCUAGGAAUCUGCCUGGUAGUGGGGGACAACGUUUCGAAAGGAACGCUAAUACCGCAUACGUCCUACGGGAGAAAGCAGGGGACCUUCGGGCCUUGCGCUAUCAGAUGAGCCUAGGUCGGAUUAGCUAGUUGGUGAGGUAAUGGCUCACCAAGGCGACGAUCCGUAACUGGUCUGAGAGGAUGAUCAGUCACACUGGAACUGAGACACGGUCCAGACUCCUAGCGGAGGCAGCAGUGGGGAAUAUUGGACAAUGGGCGAAAGCCUGAUCCAGCCAUGCCGCGUGUGUGAAGAAGGUCUUCGGAUUGUAAAGCACUUUAAGUUGGGAGGAAGGGUUGUAGAUUAAUACUCUGCAAUUUUGACGUUACCGACAGAAUAAGCACCGGCUAACUCUGUG